UGAGGAAUAUUGGGCAAUGCCCGCAAGGGUGACCCAGCAACGCCGCGUGGAGGAGGAAUGUCGUAAGAUUGUAAAGUCCUGUUAGAGGGGAGGAAUAGUACCGGUUGGACCGGUAUAUGACUGUACCCUCAGAGAAAGCCCCGGCUAACUACUUGCCAGCAGCCGCGGUAUUACGAAGGGGGCAAGCGUGGUCCGGAUUUACGGGGUGUAAAGGGCGCGCAGGCGGGAUAAAAAGUCAGUGGUGAAAUCCUACAGCUUAACUGUAGAACUGCCUUUGAUACUUUUAUUCUUGAGUUCGGGAGAGAGAGACGGAAUUCCAGGUGUAGUGGUGAAAUACGUAGAUAUCUGGAAGAACACCAGUUGCGAAGGCGGUCUCUUGGUCCGACACUGACGCUGAGGCGCGAAAGCGUGGGGAGCAAACA
This 422-nucleotide ribosomal RNA is filed under the name uncultured bacterium. RNAcentral describes it as "bacterial SSU rRNA". It matches the Rfam family "Bacterial small subunit ribosomal RNA", at positions 355 to 774 of the family's 1533-position model. The record is from RNAcentral.